AGGACGAACGCUGGCGGCGUGCUUAACACAUGCAAGUCGAGCGGUAAGGCCUUUCGGGGUACGCGAGCGGCGAACGGGUGAGUAACACGUGGGUGAUCUGCCCUGCACUUCGGGAUAAGCCUGGGAAACUGGGUCUAAUACCGGAUAUGACCUCCGAUCGCAUGGUUGGUGGUGGAAAGAUUUAUCGGUGCAGGAUGGGCCCGCGGCCUAUCAGCUUGUUGGUGGGUAAUGGCCUACCAAGGCGACGACGGGUA
RNAcentral lists this ribosomal RNA (254 nucleotides) under uncultured soil bacterium. RNAcentral's name for it is "partial 16S ribosomal RNA". It matches the Rfam family "Bacterial small subunit ribosomal RNA", at positions 26 to 285 of the family's 1533-position model. The record is from RNAcentral.